CCUUGGAUUAUCACAUUUCUUCAAGGACCAAAAGCUGUGCUGGUGAUUCAGACCCGGAGGAGAAUGUCGUUUUAAGUGUGCCUGUGCUGGCUCACAUGUGACUCAGUAUUUGAUCAAUACUGCUGGUGGCUGUUGGUGCAGCAACUGAUGGGAAGCUGGAGGAGAAUUAUUCCGGUGAAAGCCUCGAGAAAAAUCAGUCAGAGAAGGCUGUGCCGCCAGAGUCCCAUCCCAUCACGCUCAGACAAAAUCCUCAGAAAUCCCACCUUAAAACCACACUGGAAACACCAGGGGAAAGUAUCAAGACAAGCAGUUCUUGGGAAUGUAUGGAAUUGACACAGAAGUCAUGGAGCAACUGAGCAGUGACAGGGCUGGAAAGGUAUGAGGGUUUGUGGUUCUUCAGGUAGGGAUGG
Molecule: long non-coding RNA, 410 nt
Filed under: Lonchura striata (white-rumped munia)
Lineage: Eukaryota; Metazoa; Chordata; Aves; Passeriformes; Estrildidae
Description: domestica (Bengalese finch) lncRNA (ENSLSDG00000017560.1)
Source: RNAcentral